This 569-nucleotide long non-coding RNA is filed under the name Ananas comosus (pineapple). RNAcentral describes it as "long non-coding RNA (ACOM_LNC012213)". The record is from RNAcentral. Lineage: Eukaryota; Viridiplantae; Streptophyta; Magnoliopsida; Poales; Bromeliaceae.
GUAGUAUAUUGGUAUAGGUGUGAAUGUUCACUAUAGCAAAAAUGGUAUAUAGCAGCACUUUUAAAUAUCGGUACAGGUCAAAAAAUGUGCUGCUGGCUAAAUUACCGAUACUUUUUAAAAAUGUUGUUAUAUGUAGGGCGCUAUAUGUAGGGUCGUCUUGAUGUUUGGCACCCAUUCGUACAACGGCCUGUGGCGGAGCGACACGUGGCGAUCAUAGCCCUCUACGGUCCCUGCGAAAUCCUCGCGACCGAACUCCAGCCACCAGAAGCCUACCUCAUUGGUUGCGGUGGCGGAGGAGGAGAAGGGAGAUGAUGAUCAAUUUUUUUUUUUCUUUUCUAUUUGUAAUCGGGCCGAGUGGGCUAGGUGGGGUUGGUUGAAUAGAGUAACUUUUUAUUUUUGAUUGGACUGGGCUUCAUAUUUAGUGCUUAUUAGAUUUUUUAAAAAAUUUUUAAUAUAAAUAGGACACAUUUAUAAAAAUAUUUUAAAAAUAUGUUCUUAUAAUCUAAUUCUAUUGUAGUGGUUUACUUUUUAGUAGAGGCUAAAACUCUCAAUAUUCCAAUCCUCUUCAU